Anarrhichthys ocellatus (wolf-eel) is the source of this 4452-nucleotide long non-coding RNA. RefSeq lists it as uncharacterized. The transcript is spliced from 2 exons. The record is from RefSeq and is a predicted model, not a curated record. Lineage: Eukaryota; Metazoa; Chordata; Actinopteri; Perciformes; Anarhichadidae.
AGGAGUUGUGUAAAAGGGGCUGAAGUCCUGCGCUGCCUUCUCUACUGCUGCUGCGACGCUAAGAAAAGUAGACUCCCUCGCGAAGCCUCAAAAGAAGAUUUAAGGUUUUACAUCCUUAAAUACCUCAAGAUCCACGUUUUCCACGACACACCCUGGUGAAGGUCCAGGACUCCGCCGGAGCAGCGGGGCAGCCUGAACUCCGCUGGACCGUCCAGAUGGGUUGGCCGAGCAGGAGCGACCCGGCCGGUGGUCAAGGUGGGGCGUAUUUACUGGCUGCGAGGCUGUCUGUGUGUUUCUGCUGGCUAAACGCUUCUUCCUGUCAGUCUGAUUUAGCCUGUGGCGGCUUCAUGACCCAGUUUGCGUUGAGACGGCAACUGGGAAAGCAGUCCUUAACAUUAUUCAAGUAAAAUCCAUCUCUUCAGGUCUGAUUUCUGCGUUACAGCGGCAGCUUUCUGCAGACAUCUGCGUCGUCAGAUUGCGGAGGAUAUACAGUUGGGGGUUAUAGGAGUUCUGGUUUAAGGCCUGUCUAUGUGUCAUGUAUCAUAUCGUCCAGGCCCACUGACACAGAGGACCUGCUGUGAAUUAUGGGCACAUUUAGAAAUGUGACCACAACCUCCCAGCUCUUGCAAACAUUUAAUCAACAUUUAGAUGAUUGACCCAGUGAGGCUUUGUUAAUAUGCUGCAUGGAGUAUCUGCACAUGCAGGCUGAUGGCAGCUAAAGAGAUGCUUGAAAUGUGCUUAAAAAAAAGUCAGAAUUGUGUCUAAAUUAACACAAAGGAAGAGCAGAGCCAGGAAAUGCCCACAGACAUCAUGUUUUCAGUGCUUAAAGAUUCACGGAUGUCUUAUUACAUUAGCCUUAAGAUAACUCAUUCAGUCAUUUGUGAGCACGUAACAGUUAAAUGUUGUAUUAUAGGCUGAAGUGUGAAGUCUGCAUUCAGGUCGUCUAAACGUGUUAGAAAGUGUCGGCGUUCAAAGCCCCUUCAAAUUUGCUGAGUUCAUUAUAGGCCAAGGAAAAAGCCUGUGCUGAAGUAGGGGAUAGGUGAAAAUCAGGAAGAUAACUAUAGGGCCUCAGAAAUGCAGUGACACCAGCAGUCAUCUGGCAGCUCUUUCUUCAAAUGAAAGAUAAAGACAAGCAUAUUAUGUUGAGACUUAAAGCAGGUGAUGUAACAAAGUAUGUAGGCCUCCGUGUCCCCUCAACGCAUUUAUAUACACACCGUCUUUUACACGUCUAUAAAACCUUUUUUAAAAGCAAAGUGCAGUAAUGUAUAAGCAAUCUGUCUCUGAGAUAUUGGACAGGAGGGGCAAAGCUUGCUUGUAGUGUACGGUGGAGCUGGUCUUACAUAAUUAUACAGCCAGAGUUCAGUGUGCUGACAGGAAUGCGCAAUAGACUGUGUCACGAGCUGCAUUUGUGCCAUUGCAACCCGGAGUGUGACAUAAGCCACCCUUGUCAAUGAGGAUCACAUGUGCAAUGACAGGGCGUCGGUUGAAAAUGCAAAUCGUCUUCCCUACAUGUGUCAUUUGUCCUGCAUCCAGGCAAACAUUUUAUUGCUUACAUUUGCAGAAAUGUAGCCAUCUUGCUCAACUUGGGUUACACCCUUCAUUCCUAUUGCGUGCCUUGUCAAGGGUGGAUGGGAAAAGAAAGGUAUGUGUUAUGAAGGUUUAUUUAGGGGGGGAAGAAAAAAAUCCAGUUCUUUCAAACAAAAUGGCACAAACUGCCCGAGGACAGGCUUACGGGCCUCAUACCGCACGCUACCAUCUCCCAGGAUGUCGUGAGUUCAGACUGGCAUUCAGCUGUUACUCUUAGCAAGUAAAACAGCCCACACCCUUUUAUUUGUACUAAUCUCAGGGUUAAAGUCAGAUAGUCCUGCAAACAGCCAGCAGCAGAGCAUAAGAAGAGGCUCCCUGCGCUGUGAUCGGUGUGUUGCCAAAGCCACCGCCCUUUCCCCGUCUUUCUCCCAAUUCCCAUGUCUAAAAUGAUCAGUCUAUAUUGCAGACUACAAUCUGGGGCAGUGAACGCUCUCCAACCGGGCCACACCCACAGCAGAGGAAUGCACCUGGAGUAAUGUAUGUAAAACGUUUAAUCAUCACGUUUCCAUUCACACAGCCGCAGCAGCAGAAUGCAAAUCUGCAAUUCCGGCCUACCUCAUCAUGUCGCCUUAUUUAGGAUUCCCCUAAAUAUGAGUGGGCUCGAAGCAGGGACAGAGGUUUGACCCACUCUCUAUCAUAAUGGUCUUUAUUUUGUUUUUCAUCUUCAACAGAAGUGCGCUGCUUCUACCUGUUUGCAUCUCAUCUGUCUUUUGUUAUUCAUCUAUUUCCGUAAUAUUGAAGCUCCCUAGAUAAGGUCAAUAAUCCCUUAUUGUACGUGGUUCAUUCACACCCUCCUGUGUGCAAACCAUCAUAUCCAUUCCUCCCUGUUGUGGCAAAGAAUGCACGUCCCAGAUAAGCUCAGUCUUUUGUGUAUCAGACUGUGUGUUAUCUCCUUUUACACCGCUGCCCCAUGUAUAAAACCCUGUCUCAAGGCCUUCCACACUGGCUGUCAAUGGGCUCAGUCUGACUCCCCCGCUCGGACAAGGCCAGAGAAAGAAAGGGAAGGAGAGGGGGAGGUAAGGGUGAACCUGGCGGUGGAGCCACGUCUGCCUCGUCCGGUGCAGACCAGCUGUAGACGAGUUGGUAGAGGAGAGGUGGGGGAAGGAUAGCGGGAUGGAAAAAAAGGAGUGGAAGAGACUGUUUGUUAAUGUGGAUGUACUCUGAGUCCACAGCGGCCGGGUGGAAUUUUUAACAUACGCAGCUGGAAUGUCAGGAAUGCAGGACAGUCUGAUCUGACCAAGAAAGAAAGAAAGGAAGGAAGGAAGGAAGGCCCCAAAAAGAAGAAGAAGAUAUACGGGAAAGAGUAGCACAGUAAUAGUCAGAAGGCUCAACACUGCCCGUCAUUGUGAACAUAAAGAUACAGAGUCACUGUUUGUAGAAGGAGUGGCACGCUAUGGAACAAAUAACUUAUUCAGUUGGAGGCAGCCGUAGUCGGCAGUUAUGACUGUCAGUGGCCCUGUGUGUGGCCCGAGGACUUGUACUGUACGUCCUCCUCCCUAAAUUCAUUCAGACCAACACCAGCAGGGCAGGCCUGGGAGGGGGGAGGGAGGGGGGAGGGGGUGCUGAAAGUUAAUCAGUCGACCUAUAAUGUCUCAACAGCUUUUGGACGGAUUGCCACGACUUGUGGUUCACACAUUCACGUCCCCCUCAGGAGGAAUUGUAAUAACAUUGAUGAUCUUUUAACUUUUUCAUCGAGCGCCAUCAUCGGGUCAAAAACGCUUCACUGUGGUUUAUGACCGAAUCCCUACAAAACUACCGUCAUUCCCAUCAGCCUCAGGAAUAUGUGAGCCCAAAGCAGCAGAUGAAGGAAGGAGAAGGAGUCGCCAUUUGGGCCUUUUUAAAGCCGGCCGUCCGUCACUCCAGGCUGUCUGGUUCGAACUCUCACGCUCUCUGGCUGACUCCCAGAGCUCCCUCACACUUGGCCCCAAAUAGCUGACACACAGCAGUUCUUCACUGGCAAGCUUUAUGUUCCCGUACACAUGCUAAAGCUGCCAGCUGAAGAACUGCUCUGGUCAGCCCUGCCCCGGAUGACUCAAGAAGAGGAAGCGGAUGGGGGUUGCUGAGAAGAAGACUGAGGAAGGAGGUGUUUCUCACGCUCGGUCAGACCGGCCACUGUUUAUAAUCCUGUUUUAAACAAAUGUAAGGUGUAUUUUAUUUUAGGCAAUAGAGAAUGUUUUAUUUUGUGGUCUUUUUCCUCACAAACACCUGCUUACAUGUUGUCAUGAUGUUUUUGGUUUCUUACAGUAAAGAACAAAAUAUUUUCUCAGACUUUUUUGUUUUUUUGUUGUGGACAAAACUGCACACUAUGAACAAUAAAACUCAAACCAGCACUACAGGCUCUCUUGUCCAAAAAUAACAGCACACACAAAGAAGCACACAAUAGAUUUAUGCAAGAAUGUGUCACACUGAUCCCCUUUUAACUUCAAAGUCUCUCAUGAUCCCAUUAAAGGGGAGCAAGAAAGAUCAGAGUAAAUUGAGAUGUUCUUCAAAUGUAAAAGUGGCCUCAGAUAUGCAAUAACUUCUGAAAGUGGUGUUUGUUCUCACAUGAAUUAACAAGUCAGCAAGUUGACAUUCAGCCAGGACUGAAUGAAUCCACUUAUAUUAUUGCAUAAAAGAUGCGGAACCAGAGGGGGAACAUUUUUCUUCAGGGCUUUAAUGCAUCACUGGCUGCUUCAAUGGAUUCCUUCACAAACUACCAACUUUCCCAGACUGAGGAAGGACUCAUUGGAUGUGAAAUAGUCUUCAUAACUGACCAAUAUCCACUGCAAUGCUCCUUCAUUUAUUUGGCAUCAGCAGCAGGUUAAUUGAUUAACUGUAUUACUGUGUAAGAUGAAUUGGUUUAAUAAAGGAAGCAGUUUAUUUCAA